AUUGAACGCUGGCGGCAUGCUUUACACAUGCAAGUCGAACGGCAGCGCGGGCUUCGGCCUGGCGGCGAGUGGCGCACGGGUGAGUAAUACAUCGGAACGUGCCCAGUAGUGGGGGAUAGCUCGGCGAAAGCCGGAUUAAUACCGCAUACGACCUGAGGGUGAAAGCGGGGGAUCUUCGGACCUCGCGCUAUUGGAGCGGCCGAUGGCAGAUUAGCUAGUUGGUGGGGUAAAGGCCUACCAAGGCGCCGAUCUGUAGCUGGUCUGAGAGGGCGACCAGCCACACUGGGACUGAGACACGGCCCAGACUCCUACGGGAGGCAGCAGUGGGGAAUUGUGGACGAUGGGCGAAAGCCUGAUCCAGCAAUGCCGCGUGUGUGAUGAAGGCCUUCGGGUUGUAAAGCACUUUUGGCGGGAACGAAAAGGACUGUGCCAAUACCACGGUUCGAUGACGGUACCCGCAGAAUAAGCACCGGCUAACUACGUG
Molecule: ribosomal RNA, 484 nt
Filed under: uncultured bacterium
Lineage: Bacteria
Description: partial 16S ribosomal RNA
Rfam family: Bacterial small subunit ribosomal RNA
Source: RNAcentral